GUGCAGCUGAUGACAGUUUGAAAGAAGGAUGAGCAGGCUCUCUGCCAUCUGCCCACCAACUUUUCAAGUUACUUUUACCCACCUUCAAAAUUACAUCUGCUUUUAGCAAGAAUUACUGAUGUGAUAAAGAUGGGAGUGUUCACCAUGCAAGGGCAGGGGAUCCCCUGCUGCUCCACCAUCAGAUUUGGGACACCACCCCCCCCCCGGCCCCACCAGAGGGCAUCAGCUAUGCCUAGAAGGGGACCACAACAGACUCGACAGGAUCCACCGGUUGGGCCCAAGGCAGGAGGAAGGGCGGCGCCCCCAAACUCCCAGGACGCCUGCAGCACCCCCCACGCGCCGCUCUCCGCCUCUGGGGAGCAUCCUGCCACCCCCCGACACACACACCCCGGCUACAUCCCGCCUUCUCACGCUUGGUCAGGCGCUCUGGAGAUGUCGGAGAUCCAGGCUUUUCCUAAAGAGUCAGGAUUGGAAGGCGGCUCGAAGAGAGGGGCACCUGCUGCUAAGCUGUGUAUGUUGUCCCCUAGGACUCCCACCGUUUGCUGAGCUCCACAUGACAACAGCAGACGACAGGCCGCACUGAUCCCACCUGGCUUACAGGUGCUGUCACACAGGUACGCCUUCUUGUGAAUCAUCAGUCACCAUUUGCCCCUCGCAGCAACCCUGUCUUGGAGGAAGGUCCUUGCCGACACCCGCCUCUCCCCACCCUUAGGCUCCCUUGCUCCUUCAUUCAACCAUUGUUUACAUGUCGUUCAGGACUGCUGACUAAACACUUUCAAGCACAGUGGACCCUUGAACAACGCAGGUUCAAACUGUGCAGGUCCACCCACAGGGAUGUUUUUCAAUCAGAGUUAUACCAAGUGUCCCUGCCUCUCCUGCCUCCCUUCCCACUUCCUCCAUGUCUUCCUCUCUGCCACCCUGAGGCAGCAAGACCAGCCCCUCCUCCUCAGCCACUCAACAUGAAGACAACGAGGAUGAAGACUUCUAUGAUAAUCCACUUCCACUUAGUAAAUGCUUUCUCUUAUGAUAUUCUUAAUGACAUUUUAUUUUCCCAAGCUUAGUUUAUUGUAAGAAUACAGUAUAAAUACACA
Homo sapiens (human) is the source of this 1091-nucleotide long non-coding RNA. Ensembl annotates it as long intergenic non-protein coding RNA 3034. Lineage: Eukaryota; Metazoa; Chordata; Mammalia; Primates; Hominidae. The record is from Ensembl.